Molecule: ribosomal RNA, 441 nt
Filed under: uncultured bacterium
Lineage: Bacteria
Description: partial 16S ribosomal RNA
Rfam family: Bacterial small subunit ribosomal RNA
Source: RNAcentral
CCUACGGGUGGCUGCAGUGGGGAAUAUUGCACAAUGGGGGAAACUCUGAUGCAGCAACGCCGCGUGAAGGAAGACGGUUUUCGGAUUGUAAACUUCUGUUCUUAGUGAAGAAUAAUGACGGUAGCUAAGGAGCAAGCCACGGCUAACUACGUGCCAGCAGCCGCGGUAAUACGUAGGUGGCAAGCGUUUUCCGGAAUUACUGGGUGUAAAGGGAGUGCAGGCGGGAAGUCAAGUCAGCUGUGAAAACUACGGGCUUAACUUGUAGACUGCAGUUGAAACUGGUAUUCUUGAGUGAAGUAGAGGUAGGCGGAAUUCCGAGUGUAGCGGUGGAAUGCGUAGAUAUUCGGAGGAACACCAGUGGCGAAGGCGACCUGCUGGGCUUUUACUGACGCUGAGGCUCGAAAGUGUGGGGAGCAAACAGGAUUAGAUACCCUUGUAGUC